RNAcentral lists this non-coding RNA (111 nucleotides) under Bacillus sp. (in: firmicutes). RNAcentral describes it as "Bacillus sp. SAM-I sequence". It matches the Rfam family "SAM riboswitch aptamer (S box leader)". From Rfam's summary of the family: The SAM riboswitch is found upstream of a number of genes which code for proteins involved in methionine or cysteine biosynthesis in Gram-positive bacteria. The SAM riboswitch acts at the level of transcription termination control. The predicted structure consists of a complex stem-loop region followed by a single stem loop terminator region. The record is from RNAcentral. RNAcentral also lists the same sequence under 1 other name. Lineage: Bacteria; Bacillati; Bacillota; Bacilli; Caryophanales; Bacillaceae.
AUUUCAUCAAGAGCGGCGGAGGGACAGGCCCGAUGAAGCCCGGCAACCGGCAAACAAGCCUGCUUGCAUGGUGCCAAUUCCUGCAGAAUCCCGGAUUCUGAGAGAUGAAAC